RNA transcript from Physella acuta, 1715 nucleotides. It is a transcript of the gene named arf-GAP with dual PH domain-containing protein 1, with no coding region annotated. The record is from RefSeq and is a predicted model, not a curated record. Lineage: Eukaryota; Metazoa; Mollusca; Gastropoda; Physidae.
UUGGAAUUUCCCUUUAUACGUCCAAAAAUAGUAGGCGUUGUUGACAGGGAAGUGAUUCACUAAAACAGGGGAGUACAAACUUAAGAUGGCGGAGCGGCAAAGAGCACGACUCGGGGAAUUACUACUGCAAGAUGGAAACGGAGAAUGUGCUGACUGUGGAGAGAAAAAUCCUGACUGGGCAUCCUGUACAAUUGGUGUGUUCUUGUGUCAAGCCUGUGCUGGUAUCCACAGAGGUUUGGGAUCAAGUCAGAGUCGCAUCAAAUCUAUCAGGCUAGAUAACUGGGACAAAGAUCAAGUUCAGGUCUUAGAGAUGAUAGGCAAUAGCAAAGCCAAGGAGAAGUAUGAAAUGUUUGUCCCACCAUACUAUAAGAGACCCAGCAGCCAUACUGUUGAUGUUCUCAGGAAAGAGUGGAUCACAGCCAAGUACCAAAGGCUAGAGUUCACAGAUCCUGAGCGCCAGAGCUCAUACAAUGUCACCGAGAAAUCUGGCAUGCUGUGGAAGCUGGGACGGGACAGAAAACAAUUUGCUCAGCGCAAAUUUCUCUUGUCUAGAACUGAAAACAAACUUUUUUAUUAUGUAAAUGAGGAGAAUGGCAAGCAAAAACAGCCUAAAGCAGAAGCAGACCUAGAUUUCCUCAAUGCUGUGUUUGUCCCAGAAAAAAUUGGAAACCCGUAUGGUCUGCAGAUAACAUAUUUUAAAAAUGGCUCCACAAGAAACCUGUUUGUUUACUCAGAAAACUCAAAGGACAUUGUGGACUGGUUUAUGUCUAUCCGUGCUGCCAAAUGGGAAAGGAGAAGGAUAGCAUUUCCUGACAGAGAUCUGACUCAGCUGGCUGAAGAUUUGACCAAAGAUUUUCUAAUGGAAGGAUGGUUAAGCAAGAUGGGACCAAAAAAUGAGCCGUUUAGACGCAGAUGGUUUACACUGGACAGGAGAAAGUUGAUGUAUUUUGAAGAACCUCUUAAUGCCUUUGCUAAGGGUGAAGUUUUUAUAGGCCACAAAGAUGGAGGCUACAGUGUUGGUACAGGCAGCGAGGAAGGUGACAGGGGGUCCAACAGUCAGAACAGUAGCAGCAAUAACUGCUUCACUCUGCAGACGCCAGACAGGAAGUUUGUCAUGAGGGCUGAGACACUGGAUGACAUGCAGAAGUGGGUUAUGGCCCUGCAGAAGGUUGUCGAGAUGCCACUUACAACUCAAGAUAGUAAAUUGGCUGGGUUGUUGGUGCCAAAGAAGUCGUCCAAUUCCUUUAGGCUGAUCAAAAGAUAAUUGAAGACUUAAAAAUCAGCUCCAUCUGUACACUAACACUAGAUGCUGCCAUGCAAGAUAUCUGAAUCUGUUAUAUGAGAUAUAUUGCUGGUAUACCAUCUGAUACAAGAUAUAUUGCUGGUAUACCAUCUGACUCUGUUAUACAAGAUAUAUUGUGUUAUACAAGAUAUAUUGCUGGUAUACCAUCUGAUACAAGAUAUAUUGCUGGUAUACCAUCUGAUACAAGAUAUAUUGCUGGUAUACCAUCUGACUAAGAGCAGAACCUACCCAUGAUCUCCCGUGAAAGUGCUGAUUGUAUUUGUUGUCAAACUUACAACUGAGAUUAUGCUAAGCUUCACCCGCCACCUUGAUGGAUUUGAUAUUAGUAGCUAGACAUGGAAAGUAGUUUAAGCUCUGUGGACUUAGCUUUCUCUUUAGGUCUGUGACUUUCUCUUUAGGUCUGUGGACUUAG